CAUUACAAACAACAAAUCAGAAGCAUCAAAGCCAAAAAAAUCAGAAAUUGAAGCUAGAAAAGGUAUGAAAUUCCCUAAUUUUGAAAUCUUUCGAUUCUAUGUUAAUUGAUGCAAUUGAUUGUUUAAAGUAGUGUAAUAGGGAGUCUAUUAAUGUUCUGGGUUGUAAAAACACAGACCCAUAACAUCAAAGUGCACGAAUUUGAAGAUUUAAGCAAGUUGGAAAAAACCGGAUUCUGUGAUUUUUCAUCAAAUGUCAGGGCUUAUAACUCUUUGGUCGAUCAUGAGUUUUGUUAUUUAAAAGUUGUUAUAUGUAGCCUGACAUGUGGUCUUUAAUAUUCAAAACGAAUCAAGUUCAUAGAUAUUGUAGAUCGGGAUUUAUAAGCGGUCAAAAUGGGUUGACCGGCAUUGACCGGCUGUUCUUCAAACCCAGAAAAUAUUCUAAGUGUCCAGAAAAUAUUUUUUUGGAAAAUGUCAGGCCUUAUAUCUCGGUUAUCUUUAAUGUGUUUUGUGUUCUAAAGGUUGUUAUGUGUAGCUUGUUAUGUGGUAUUUAACCUCCAAAAAGAAUCAGGUCCAUAUAUAUUACGGAUUAAGAGUUAUUUAAGGUCAAAGUGGGUUGACCGGCAUUGACCAGAAAAUUCUGGGCAGCCCAGAAUUUUCUAAGUGUUAAUUUUUCUGACAAGGUUUGACCAUACUUUAGAUGCUUGAUUUCUUGUUUUUAUGAUGAUGUUAAGUGUUAGAGUUGUAGUCCUACAUGUUGUCUACACACUGGAAUUGAUAGAUCACAUAAACGUUACACGAUCAUCAAGUUAUAGAGGUCCAAAGUAGGCACCUCGAACUGUUCUUCGUGAAGAACAGCUUUGGUAGCUACUUUGAUGGCUGAUUUAUCCCAGAUCUGAUGUUUGUUUAGAGGUUAUGAUUGUUGGAUCUUGUAGUCUUGUAUUUCCUCUACAAGACCCAAUUUAUAGAUUGUCCAAAUUCGUUAAGAUGAGAGAGUUAUUCACGGUCAAAGUAGGCCACUCGGUUCUGCCUUAUGAAGAUCUGGGUAGGCUCAAGAACACCUAUAGCGACACUUCUGUCACUAUAGGGGCCUUUAGCGACAGUUUUAAUUAUUUUAAUUUCUGAUUUUCCGAAAAAUGAUUUAAAAAUUAGAAAAAUUAGAUUUUAAUUAUUAAAAAUACCAAAUAAAUUAUGAAAAAUUAUUUUAAAGUCUGAAAAAUAGUUUUUAAUUAUUUUGAGUAUAUUUCAUAAAUAUUUAAUAUUUUUGGAAUAUAAAAGGUAUUUAUUUAUUUAAUUAUAAUAUUAAAUAAAUGAUUUAAAAAUAGUUUUAAUUCAUGAAAAAUCAUGAAAAAUUAUAUUAUGGUAUAAGAAAAUAUUUUAAGUUAUUUCCCAUGACUUUUAAUAUUUUGUGAUGAAUUUCAUUAAUUAAUUAUAUAUUAAUGAUAUUAAAGUUAUUUAAUGAUUAUAUUAAAUAAUUUAGUUUAAAAAUGAUUUUAAUAUUAUAAAAAUCAUUUUAAAUGAAAUUAAGGUAUUUAAAAAUAUUUUAAGUUAUAAAAUAUAACUUUUAAUAUUUAAAGGAUAAUUUCAUUAAUAAUUUAAUAUUAAUGAUAUUAAGAUAAUAUUAAUGAUAUUUAGUUUAUUUAAUAAUUAUUAUUAAAUAAAUAGUUUAAAAAUGGUUUUAUUUAUUUAAAAAUCAUUUAAAGAGGAUAUUAAGGAUUUAAAAAUAUUUUAAGUUAUAAUUAAUGACUUUUAAUAUUUGGAUGAAUAGUACAUUAAUAUUUAUAUAUUAAUGGUGAUUAUUUAAAAAUGAUUUUAAUUGUUUUAAAAAUCAUUUAAGGGUAAUAUAAAUGUUUUAAAAAUAGUUUGAGUUAUUAUAAAUAACUUUUAUAUUUUGGCAAUGGUUUCAUUAAUAGUUUAAUAUAAAUUAAUUAUUAAUGAUAAUGGAAUUGUUUAAUGUUUAAAUCAUUUAAUUAUGAUUCCGAUGUUUGAAAGUUAUAGCCGGCCAAACUAGCUGACUUGAGAACCGAUUAUGAAGUUAUGAAGUUUUGAGGAACACCUAUAGUAACAGUUAUAUCACUAUAGGCCCGGUAGUGACAGAUUUGAAUUAUUUUAAAUUUUUCAAUUUCUGGAAAAUUCGAAAAUGAUUAAAAAUAAAAUGUUUGAUAUUUACAGAUGUUGAGGUAUAGGAUAAGAGUCUUAGACUCAGUAUUUACCCGAUAAAGCUGUCGGUACGCCGACAAAUGUCAGACCCUAUAAUAGAAAGAAAAGACUUCUGUAAGAGCAUGGAUGAGAUAUUUGAAAAAUGUAUAAAAAUAUUUCAAGUAUAGAAUAUGAACUAAAAGUAUGAUCACUGCGAUUAUGUGAUGACGUGAUUAGACUAUGUGCUGACUGUAAUAGACAGUACUAUGUGUUAUGAUAUAUUGUUCUAAUCGAACGAAUAAUCUGAUUAUUGAUAGGUUGUGAAAAAGAGAUAAAACCUAAGUUGACAUUUGUAAUCAGCAAAUCAGGCAAGUAUCUUACCUUUGCAUUUCCUUUAUGCAAUGGACAUGAGUAAGAAGUUUCAGAAUUAUUCUAUUCCUGUACAGAUUUUGUACGCUUUGAUUAUCAACAUGUUAGCUCAGAUAUAUAUUCUGUUAAGUUGAUUUCUAAAUGGUUAUACAAGUGUCCCUACUUGGAUAAUCAUGACAUUUAUUCACAUGUUGAUACACCUUUGUCAAUUACCCGUAUAUAUAUAUGUUGAAUUACAUAUUAUUGUUGAGCAAGAUUAAAAACCUUCGGGUUUGGAACCAGGCAUGUAUGAACAUCCCUAUAUGGGAAGAUUUUUGCGCCCAAGGCGGAC
Molecule: long non-coding RNA, 2836 nt
Filed under: Panax ginseng (ginseng)
Lineage: Eukaryota; Viridiplantae; Streptophyta; Magnoliopsida; Apiales; Araliaceae
Description: long non-coding RNA (PGIN_LNC005946)
Source: RNAcentral